UACAGAGGUCUCAAGCGUUGUUCGGAUUCAUUGGGCGUAAAGGGUGCGUAGGCGGCGCGGUAAGUCGGGUGUGAAAUCUCGGGGCUUAACUCCGAAACUGCAUUCGAUACUACCGUGCUUGAGGACUGGAGAGGAGACUGGAAUUUACGGUGUAGCGGUGAAAUGCGUAGAUAUCGAGAGGAACACCUGCGGCGAAGGCGGGUUGCUGGGCUGACACUGACGCUGAGGCGCGAAAGCCAGGGGAGCGAACGGG
RNAcentral lists this ribosomal RNA (253 nucleotides) under uncultured bacterium. Its description in RNAcentral is "partial 16S ribosomal RNA". It matches the Rfam family "Bacterial small subunit ribosomal RNA", at positions 524 to 776 of the family's 1533-position model. The record is from RNAcentral.